Molecule: ribosomal RNA, 587 nt
Filed under: uncultured bacterium
Lineage: Bacteria
Description: bacterial SSU rRNA
Rfam family: Bacterial small subunit ribosomal RNA
Source: RNAcentral
CUCCUACGGGAGGCAGCAGUGGGGAAUUUUGGACAAUGGGCGAAAGCCUGAUCCAGCAAUGCCGCGUGUGUGAAGAAGGCCUUCGGGUUGUAAAGCACUUUUGUCCGGAAAGAAAUGGCUCUGGUUAAUACCUGGGGUCGAUGACGGUACCGGAAGAAUAAGGACCGGCUAACUACGUGCCAGCAGCCGCGGUAAUACGUAGGGUCCAAGCGUUAAUCGGAAUUACUGGGCGUAAAGCGUGCGCAGGCGGUUGUGCAAGACCGAUGUGAAAUCCCCGAGCUUAACUUGGGAAUUGCAUUGGUGACUGCACGGCUAGAGUGUGUCAGAGGGGGGUAGAAUUCCACGUGUAGCAGUGAAAUGCGUAGAGAUGUGGAGGAAUACCGAUGGCGAAGGCAGCCCCCUGGGAUAACACUGACGCUCAUGCACGAAAGCGUGGGGAGCAAACAGGAUUAGAUACCCUGGUAGUCCACGCCCUAAACGAUGUCAACUAGUUGUUGGGGAUUCAUUUCCUUAGUAACGUAGCUAACGCGUGAAGUUGACCGCCUGGGGAGUACGGUCGCAAGAUUAAAACUCAAAGGAAUUGACGG